AGAAUCAACGCUGGCGGCGUGCCUAACACAUGCAAGUCGAACGAGAAAGGGGUAGCAAUACCCUGAGUAAAGUGGCGCACGGGUGAGUAACACGUGACUAACCUACCCUUGAGUGGGGGAUAACUGAGGGAAACCUUAGCUAAUACCGCAUAACACUUACGAGUCAAAGCAGCAAUGCGCUUGGAGAGGAGUUCGCGGCCGAUUAGUUAGUUGGCGGGGUAAUGGCCCACCAAGACGAUGAUCGGUA
This 247-nucleotide ribosomal RNA is filed under the name uncultured bacterium. RNAcentral's name for it is "partial small subunit ribosomal RNA". It matches the Rfam family "Bacterial small subunit ribosomal RNA", at positions 26 to 285 of the family's 1533-position model. The record is from RNAcentral.